This is a long non-coding RNA of Drosophila obscura, 682 nucleotides long. RefSeq lists it as uncharacterized. The record is from RefSeq and is a predicted model, not a curated record. Lineage: Eukaryota; Metazoa; Arthropoda; Insecta; Diptera; Drosophilidae. The transcript is spliced from 2 exons.
ACCAGAAACAUCACAAAUUUCCAACUGCGCGGUCGCUGCGCGUCGUCGAACGGUAAAAGUGUUAUUCUGAAAAGGAAAAACUUUGUCGAGAAGCGAAAAACUUGUGCAUAUAAUUAAGAAGCGCGCGGUGUAAAAGCCAUUUAGCUAAGCACUUUAACUAAGAAGUUGGCCAAAAGUUUUUCUUGUUCGCCAGCAUAUCGUUGCCGCCGUCGCCGCCACAAGACGGUUGUUGGGGCUCGUCAAAAAGUGCUCCGACAAGAUUUCCACUUGAAAUUCCUGAAUUUCGUCUCGCAAUCGGAAUAUAAAAGCGCAAUUCGAAUAAAGUACGAAUGAAAAUUAAGUUUUUCGCAACCCAAAGAGCGGAGUGAUUAUUGUACAAGUGCCAGUGGUUUUUCUAAGUGUUUGUGUGUGUUUGUCGAGUGUGUCACAAUUUCUGAGCGGAAAGGACUCUUGGAUUAGCGGUGCUUUUGACUCUGUUCCUGGCUGCUCCUGCUACCCGCCCCCUCACCUGGCUGAAUUCAAACGAUGCGCCCAGCAGCAGGUCUCCGCUGCCGCUGUCGGAGACGAUGAUGACGCCGCCUCUGAUGCCGCUGAUGAUGAUGAAGUUGCUGCCGAGGCAACAGUCCAACUGCUGACAGCCAAGUGCAUCUGAAAGAUACAAGAUAGCUGCAGAUACACAAAA